UGCUUGUGGAGGGCUGCUGUCACCUGUCACCACUGCUGGACAGAUGAUUUAAACACUGACAUUACAAGUGGUCCAGCCACUUCAUAACCCUGCACUAAAGACGCUGGAGCUUGUGAUCACCGGGGUCAUGAGGAGGAGGAAUGGCAUCGCCCUAACAGAACUCAAGAGCCUUUGCCAUUGUCUGUGGUAUUAAGCAGGUUUCAGUUAGGAUUUUAGGUGGAUUUCUGCUUUGUUCUACGCAAGUUUUAAUCAAGGCAGAAAAACUCUCCUCACUCUCCUCACAACAGUCAGUCACUAAGGCUUUGCAUUUUUCUUCCUGAAGCUUCCCCUCCCUCGGGCACAUUUUUAGCAAAAAAGAUGUGAUUCCCAAGCUCUCCAGAUGUUGCCUCUCAGAUGUGCCUCAGCACGCAUCUCGGAGCCAUCUGGCCACAGCAACAGCUGGACUGCUUCCAAGUGGAAGUGCUCACAGAACAACCAUGCAACAGCCACUGGCCACACUGACAGAGAAGCUGAUAACUAAUCAGAGUCAAACUGAGCCUAUCAACCCUUUUCCAUGUCCACAAAGAUAAACAUGAGCGAGCCUGAGAUAAAACACCACGGAGUGCACUUCCCUGGGACCAUUUUGAGAGCUUUGGACCUCUGGGAACACAGAUGUGACCCAGCAGGAUGGCCACACCACCCACAGGGCAGUAGAGGUGGACAGCAAAUGCAGAGAAACUGCAUCAUAAAUGCCUGUAGCUCUUCCUGUGGGUGUGAGGAACCUGUCUCUCAACCCAGCUUGAAUGGGAUUUGUUUCUGCAGCAGGAAUAAUCCUAAGUCAUCCAUUCUGACGCCGGAGACUCAGCACUUUCAGGCAAGACUCCAUGUACACAUAUUCUGGGCUGGGGAGAUGGAACCCAUUUGAUAAGAAACUAUUUCAGCACCACUGAAAGCAAAGACAAUGAUGAUUAACAACACCCUUUCCUCCUGACUGAACUGCGAGUAAGCCAUCUCCCACCCUGGCCUGGCCUUCAGAGAGAAAACCAGGUGAGUGUGGUGGGGCAAGUCUGCAGUCCCAGCUAUUGAAAGUCUGAGGCAGGAGGAUCAUGAUUUCAUGGCCAGCUUGGGCUCUACAGGAAGAGAAUACAUAGCUGAUCUCAAUGGACACAUCUCAUAUUCUAUCCUCUAGCCUAGAUAGAUGGGUGAACAUGACUCAAAAUAUCUUUAAAGUAUUAGUUGAAAUCUUAUUAAUAUAAUUCUUCUCACAUCAUGCAUAUGAAAUAGAUUUCUUUACAUAC
Molecule: long non-coding RNA, 1277 nt
Filed under: Mus pahari (shrew mouse)
Lineage: Eukaryota; Metazoa; Chordata; Mammalia; Rodentia; Muridae
Description: lncRNA (MGP_PahariEiJ_G0005768.1)
Source: RNAcentral